AUGCCUUUAAUUCAUCUGAGAAUUUAUUUUGAUAAAUGUUAUGAGAAAAAAACCCUUUUUUCUUUAAUAACUAAUCACUUUAACACUUUUUUAUAUAGACAUACCUUAUUUUAUCGUGCUUCACACAAAUCUUUUUUUUUUUUUUUUUUAAAAAUUAAGUUUUGGUGUAAAUAUACCUAAUUCAAAGUCCCAGCCUGUCAGUGACUGUUAGGUAGACAUUUCUAUGAACUCCCUUUACCAUCCUUCAGUAAAAUGGAGCUUGCAUUCUUUAACUCAGAGGGUUGUGCUAAGAAUUAAUUACAUAAAAUAGUAUUAAGUGUUAUGUUCAAUAAAUGUUAAAUAUUUGAUGUUCAAUGAAUGUAUCCACUACUGUGGUUGUGAUGUAUAAUCAAAACUACACUUUACAACAACAUUGAUAUUGAAUUAUUGCUCAAUGGUAGCAUACCUUUUGCAUCUGAUUGCAUGUAUGUAUCUCAGAAUACAAAUUUUUCAGAUCAGACUUUUUAUUGAAUUAUAAUUGACAUGGAAUAUUAUAUUAGUCUUGGGUAUAUAGCAUAGUGAUUCAAUAUUUUUGCAUAUUAUGAAAUGAUCGCCUGGAGAGGUCUGGUUAUUACCUAUUAGUAUAAAAAAUUAUUACAAUGUUAUUGACUAUAUUCCAUAGACUGUACAUUGCAUGCCCAUAAAUUACUUAUUUUAUAACUGGAAGUUUGUAACUCUUAAUCCCCUUUACCUAUUCCAACUGUCCCCUGACCCUCUCCCCUCUGGCAACCACUAGUUUGUCCUCUGUAUCUUUCUAUUUCGUUUGUUUACUUUUUUUAGAUUCUACACAUAAGUGAAAGCAUAUGGUAGUUGUCUUUUUCUGAUUUACUCACUUAACACAAUGCCUUUAAAGUGUAUCUGUGUUGUUGCAAAUGGUAAGAUUUCAUUCUUUUUUUUUUUUUACAGUUGAAAAAUAUUCUUUUGUAUAUCACAUCUUCUUUAACAUUUUUCUCAAUGGACACUUAGGGUUACUUCCAUAACUUGGCUAUUGUAAAUAAUGCUGCAGGAAACACGGGCAUGUAUAUAUAUUUUCCAAUUAGCGUUUUUGUUUUCUUUGUAUAAAUACCCAUAAGUGGAAUUGCUGGAUCACAUGAUAUCUAAUCUACUUUUGAGAACUUUUUGAGGAAAAUUUUAUACUGAUUUCCACAGUGGCUGAACCAGUUUGCAUUCCCACCAACAGUGCAGGAGGGUUCCAGGGUUCCACAUCCUCACCAACACUUAUUUCUUGUGUUUUUGAUAAUAGCCAUUCUGAUAAGUGUGAGGUGAUAUCUCAUUGAGGUUUGGAUAAGGCAGCCUAUAGAAGAGUCUUGUUUUCCUUAUCCAUUUAGCC
RNAcentral lists this long non-coding RNA (1369 nucleotides) under Canis lupus familiaris (dog). Its description in RNAcentral is "lncRNA (ENSCAFG00040006890.1)". Lineage: Eukaryota; Metazoa; Chordata; Mammalia; Carnivora; Canidae. The record is from RNAcentral.